GAUGAACGCUAGCUACAGGCUUAACACAUGCAAGUCGAGGGGAAACGAUAGAGAAAGCUUGCUUUUUCUAGGCGUCGACCGGCGCACGGGUGAGUAACGCGUAUCCAACCUGCCCACCACUUGGGGAUAACCUUGCGAAAGUAAGACUAAUACCCAAUGAUAUCUCAAGAAGACAUCUGAAAGAGAUUAAAGAUUUAUCGGUGAUGGAUGGGGAUGCGUCUGAUUAGCUUGUUGGCGGGGUAACGGCCCACCAAGGCGACGAUCAGUAGGGGUUCUGAGAGGAAGGUCCCCCACAUUGGAACUGAGACACUGUCCAAACUCCUACGGGAGGCAGCAGUGAGGAAUAGUGGUCAAUGGGCGAGAGCCUGAACCAGCCAAGUAGCGUGCAGGAUGACGGCCCUAUGGGUUGUAAACUGCUUUUAUAAGGGAAUAAAGUGAGUCUCGUGAGGCUUUUUGCAUGUACCUUAUGAAUAAGGACCGGCUAAUUCCGUGCCAGCCGCCGCCGUAA
This 508-nucleotide ribosomal RNA is filed under the name uncultured bacterium. RNAcentral's name for it is "partial 16S ribosomal RNA". It matches the Rfam family "Bacterial small subunit ribosomal RNA", at positions 28 to 523 of the family's 1533-position model. The record is from RNAcentral.